This 398-nucleotide ribosomal RNA is filed under the name uncultured bacterium. Its description in RNAcentral is "bacterial SSU rRNA". It matches the Rfam family "Bacterial small subunit ribosomal RNA", at positions 358 to 772 of the family's 1533-position model. The record is from RNAcentral.
GGAAUAUUGGACAAUGGGCGAAAGCCUGAUCCAGCAAUGCCGCGUGAGUGAUGAAGGCCUUAGGGUUGUAAAGCUCUUUUACACGGGAUGAUAAUGACAGUACCGGGAGAAUACGCCCCGGCUAACUCCGUGCCAGCAGCCGCGGUAAUACGGAGGGGGCUAGCGUUGUUCGGAAUUACUGGGAGUAAAGGGCGCGCAGGCGGCUGCUCAAGUCAGGCGUGAAAGGCCUGGGCUCAACCCGGGAAUUGCGUUUGAGACUGGGCUGGCUUGAGUGCGGGAGAGGAUGGUGGAAUUCCCAGUGUAGAGGUGAAAUUCGUAGAUAUUGGGAAGAACACCGGUGGCGAAGGCGGCCAUCUGGACCGCAACUGACGCUGAGGCGCGAAAGCGUGGGGAGCAAA